CAAUAAUUGCAAAAUCGGUAUGUAUUUGCAAGGUUGCUUGUGUUCAGUUGUGACUAAUUUCAGUUGGUACCACUUGAUCAGUUCGAUUUGUCGUCCCGAAAUUGCUUCUUCGAAUGUUUAUCGAAUAGUGUAUUAGAGUUUAUUGAAGGAUUCGUUCGUUGUGUUUCGUACGAGAUACAUAGUUAUUUGACAGUAAGACAGUUUUCUCGGGAAUUUAUAGUGAUUUUCACAGUGAUUGUUGUACGUGUUUUCUAUCAUUUUACGCACGUUCUUUUUUGGAAAGUGUACGAUUAAUCUAUAUGGACAAAGAUUCGCGAUCGUUCAAAAUGCGAAGAAUGUUAUUGGACUUUCGGAUCCAUCGGGAUCAAGAGAAUGAAAAUAUCGAUGCGACUCCACGGCGCAGAAGCUGCGUUAGAUUCCCGCGAGUACGGUUGCUAGACUUCAAACCGGUUUCUUACGCGGUAGUCGAGAGACUUGGUCGACGGUUGGGCG
RNAcentral lists this unclassified non-coding RNA (492 nucleotides) under Bombus terrestris (buff-tailed bumblebee). RNAcentral's name for it is "misc RNA ENSBTSG00005026989.1". Lineage: Eukaryota; Metazoa; Arthropoda; Insecta; Hymenoptera; Apidae. The record is from RNAcentral.